Molecule: small nucleolar RNA, 135 nt
Organism: Pteronotus mesoamericanus
Lineage: Eukaryota; Metazoa; Chordata; Mammalia; Chiroptera; Mormoopidae
Product: small nucleolar RNA SNORA14
Exons: 1
Source: RefSeq, a predicted model, not a curated record
UGGCAUCCUUAAACCCUCUUGGUAGCUUAGCUCUCAGUGCUUCCAAGAGAUGAAUGGAUGCUAUAGAAACUGCAGGGGAGUCCAAAAGGCUGUAUUUCUCCUGUGGUUCAGUCUUAUUUCAUACCUGUAACAGCU